Molecule: RNA transcript, 1113 nt
Organism: Oncorhynchus gorbuscha (pink salmon)
Lineage: Eukaryota; Metazoa; Chordata; Actinopteri; Salmoniformes; Salmonidae
Gene name: signal peptidase complex subunit 3-like
Exons: 5
Source: RefSeq, a predicted model, not a curated record
AUCCAGUUCCGUAUUUCUUCAAACUACACUUCCUGCUGUUGCGGGUGGAAGUGUUUCGCAUCGCUGUAUAUGAAACUGUAAUAUAAUUAUAUUUCAAAAUGAAUACAGUGUUAUCGAGGGCAAAUUCCCUCUUUGCCUUCUCGCUCAGCGUGAUGGCAGCUUUGACGUUUGGCUGUUUUAUCACGACAGCGUUCAAAGACAGGAGGGUGCCGGUGGAUAUCCACGUCUCGAGAGUAAUGCUGAAAAACCGUGGUGAUGAGUCAAUGUCCUAACUGGACCCAUUUGAAAGAAGUGACCUGGGGUUCAUGACCUACACCUUGACCUCUCUGCACAUAAAGCCCAUGUUUGACUGGAACGUCAAGCAGCUCUUCCUCUACUGACACUCCAAUACAACGUACUUACAACGGGCCCUGAACCAGGUGGUUCUGUGGGAUAAGAUCUUGCUGAGAGGAGAGAGCACCAAGCUCAACCUCAGAGACAUGAAGUCCAAGUACUUCUUCUUCGAUGACGGAAACGGGCUUCGGGCGAACAAAAACAUCACCCUGACUCUGUCCUGGAACGUGGUGCCCAACGCUGGGAUCCUGCCCCUGGUCAUGGGCUCUGGCCACAUGUCUGUCCCCUUCCCCGAAUCAUACGAGACCACCAAGAGCUACUAAACUGUUCUAUCGUUUGUGUUUGUUGUGUCAUCUUUUAUGACUUUUAAUAAAAGUGGACAUUUGGGAACGGUUCAAUUGUUGCCUUUUUUGCAUUGAUGCUGCCGCAGGAAAAAAAUACUGUCUCAAUGUUGCUAGCAGUGAAAUCCUUGUCUUUUUUCCCCGAAAUUCCUCUCAAAGCUCAUUAGAGGAGAGACCUUGGAUCCUCUACUUAAUGCACUGUGAGAGAGGUGAGGAAAUAACGAGGAGUAAACAAGGAUAUGCCUGCUGGUAAUCCUUGGUUUAAAUGGUCAUUGCUGAGAUGGACUUAGUAACUAGAAAGUCAGGACUCCUCAUGCUUCAUGUAACUGUACAGUAGUACUCAGUACCUGUGUAAUGAAGGGCAAUGUGAAGUCGCUGAAUAAUUACAUUUUUGUUUGUUCACUGCUUUCUUUUUUAAUAAAAAAUAUCUGAAAGAUAA